Molecule: ribosomal RNA, 470 nt
Filed under: Acinetobacter calcoaceticus
Lineage: Bacteria; Pseudomonadati; Pseudomonadota; Gammaproteobacteria; Moraxellales; Moraxellaceae
Description: bacterial SSU rRNA
Rfam family: Bacterial small subunit ribosomal RNA
Source: RNAcentral
GAGCGGAGAGAGGUAGCUUGCUACUGAUCUUAGCGGCGGACGGGUGAGUAAUGCUUAGGAAUCUGCCUAUUAGUGGGGGACAACAUUUCGAAAGGAAUGCUAAUACCGCAUACGUCCUACGGGAGAAAGCAGGGGAUCUUCGGACCUUGCGCUAAUAGAUGAGCCUAAGUCGGAUUAGCUAGUUGGUGGGGUAAAGGCCUACCAAGGCGACGAUCUGUAGCGGGUCUGAGAGGAUGAUCCGCCACACUGGGACUGAGACACGGCCCAGACUCCUACGGGAGGCAGCAGUGGGGAAUAUUGGACAAUGGGCGCAAGCCUGAUCCAGCCAUGCCGCGUGUGUGAAGAAGGCCUUAUGGUUGUAAAGCACUUUAAGCGAGGAGGAGGCUACUUUAGAUAAUACCUAGAGAUAGUGGACGUUACUCGCAGAAUAAGCACCGGCUAACUCUGUGCCAGCACGGGCCGGUAAUAAA